GACGAACGCUGGCGGCGUGCCUAAUACAUGCAAGUUGAGCGAUGAAGCUUGGUGCUUGCACCAAUUUGAAGAGCAGCGAACGGGUGAGUAACGCGUGGGGAAUCUGCCUUUGAGCGGGGGACAACAUUUGGAAACGAAUGCUAAUACCGCAUAACAACUUUAAACAUAAGUUUUAAGUUUGAAAGAUGCAAUUGCAUCACUCAAAGAUGAUCCCGCGUUGUAUUAGCUAGUUGGUGAGGUAAAGGCUCACCAAGGCGAUGAUACAUAGCCGACCUGAGAGGGUGAUCGGCCACAUUGGGACUGAGACACGGCCCAAACUCCUACGGGAGGCAGCAGUAGGGAAUCUUCGGCAAUGGACGAAAGUCUGACCGAGCAACGCCGCGUGAGUGAAGAAGGUUUUCGGAUCGUAAAACUCUGUUGGUAGAGAAGAACGUUGGUGAGAGUGGAAAGCUCAUCAAGUGACGGUAACUACCCAGAAAGGGACGGCUAAUUACGUG
RNAcentral lists this ribosomal RNA (497 nucleotides) under uncultured bacterium. RNAcentral describes it as "partial 16S ribosomal RNA". It matches the Rfam family "Bacterial small subunit ribosomal RNA", at positions 28 to 507 of the family's 1533-position model. The record is from RNAcentral.